AAUUGUGUUCCCCCCCGGACUAGCAUAUCAAUAAGCGGAGGAAAAGAAACCAACAGGGAUUGCCCUAGUAACGGCGAGUGAAGCGGCAACAGCUCAAAUUUGAAAUCUGGCGUCUUCGGCGUCCGAGUUGUAAUUUGCAGAGGGCGCUUUGGCAUUGGCAGCGGUCCAAGUUCCUUGGAACAGGACGUCACAGAGGGUGAGAAUCCCGUACGUGGUCGCUAGCCUCUACCGUGUAAAGCCCCUUCGACGAGUCGAGUUGUUUGGGAAUGCAGCUCUAAAUGGGAGGUAAAUUUCUUCUAAAGCUAAAUACUGGCCAGAGACCGAUAGCGCACAAGUAGAGUGAUCGAAAGAUGAAAAGCACUUUGGAAAGAGAGUUAAAAAGCACGUGAAAUUGUUGAAAGGGAAGCGCUUGCAGCCAGACUUGCCUGUAGUUGCUCAUCCGGGUUUCUACCCGGUGCACUCUUCUAUAGGCAGGCCAGCAUCAGUUUGGGCGGUUGGAUAAAGGUCUCUGUCAUGUACCUCCUCUCGGGGAGAACUUAUAGGGGAGACGACAUGCAACCAGCCCGGACUGAGGUCCGCGCAUCUGCUAGGAUGCUGGCGUAAUGGCUGUAAGCGGCCCGUCUUGAAACACGGACCAAGGAGUCUAACAUCUAUGCGAGUGUUUGGGUGUCAAGCCCGAACGCGUAAUGAAAGUGAACGGAGGUGGGAACCUUUCGGGGUGCACCAUCGACCGAUCCUGAUGUCUUCGGAUGGAUUUGAGUAAGAGCAUAGCUGUUGGGACCCGAAAGAUGGUGAACUAUGCUUGAAUAGGGUGAAGCCAGAGGAAACUCUGGUGGAGGCUCGCAGCGGUUCUGACGUGCAAAUCGAUCGUCAAAUUUGGGCAUAGGGGCGAAAGACUAAUCGAACUAUCUAGUAGCUGGUUCCUGCCGAGUCCUCCCCCCUC
Molecule: ribosomal RNA, 943 nt
Filed under: Stagonosporopsis pogostemonis
Lineage: Eukaryota; Fungi; Ascomycota; Dothideomycetes; Pleosporales; Didymellaceae
Description: partial large subunit ribosomal RNA
Rfam family: Eukaryotic large subunit ribosomal RNA
Source: RNAcentral